AUUCAAAUAGCUUAUAUAGUAUAGUAUUACAUUGAAGCUGUAAUGGAGAUUAAUUAAUCUUUGAAUA
Molecule: transfer RNA, 67 nt
Filed under: Mesembrinella sp. ACMJ-2016
Lineage: Eukaryota; Metazoa; Arthropoda; Insecta; Diptera; Calliphoridae
Description: tRNA-Phe
Source: RNAcentral